Molecule: ribosomal RNA, 253 nt
Filed under: uncultured bacterium
Lineage: Bacteria
Description: partial 16S ribosomal RNA
Rfam family: Bacterial small subunit ribosomal RNA
Source: RNAcentral
UACGAAGGGGGCUAGCGUUGCUCGGAAUGACUGGGCGUAAAGGGCGCGUAGGCGGCUGGCACAGUCAGCUGUGAAAUUCCCGGGCUUAACCUGGGGGCUGCAUUUGAUACGUGUGAUCUAGAGUGAGGAAGAGGGUCGUGGAAUUCCCAGUGUAGAGGUGAAAUUCGUAGAUAUUGGGAAGAACACCGGUGGCGAAGGCGGCGACCUGGUCCUUGACUGACGCUGAGGAGCGAAAGCGUGGGGAGCGAACAGG